GAGUAUAAAUUUUUUUAGUAUUAUCAUUGACCAUCCCAUUUUUUCAAUUUUUUUUUUAAGUUUCGAAGUGCAGAACCCUAACAACUUCACUAUCUGCUCCUCGUUCGCAGUGACAUUGCUCCGAUUUUUUCAGCUUCAGACAAAGAAAAGGCAAUAACUUUUCGAACCCCGCCUCCCUUUUUCUUCAAAGUUCGAAUCUUUUGCCCUUUCCAUGUCAAUUCAACUAAAAACUGAACCUGGGUCACCCCCCAUUCUCUCAUCAACCAGUAACAAAAGCUUGGAGACGAUGAGCGUUCCUGAGCUCAUUGAAAUUCUUCGAGUUAAGUGGCAAAAAGUGGAUUAUGACAGAGUUGAAGAGGUUUUGGUAGAAAGAGAGAAAAAACUUAAAACCAAGGCUGGUCAACUUGAAGAGAAGUUUCAGCUUCAGAGUCUAGCAAGGAUUGAUGCUGAGGAUAAAUUGAAGAAGAAAGAGCAAGAGUGUGAGAAGGUACAGAUGCUUUAUGAGACGUUGUUUAAGGGAGUGAAGGAAAGUGGGUUAGACAAGGAAACCAUUGAGAAUUUGAGGAAGAAGAACAAAGUGUUAGAGUGCGAGAAUCUUAAGUUGUUGGAGUUGAAGAAGAAAUAUGAGGUUGAUGGCAACGCUGUUGAUGAAUUAAGGAAGAAAGUGGCUGAGUUAGAGGCUGAAAAGAAGAAUAAUUUGGAUACCACUACUGAGUUGAAUGAUAAGAAUGGGAAGUUGGUGGAUGUGAAAUUGAAGGCUGAGUUUCCGUUUCUGGAAAUUCUUGACCGUGUUUCGAGAUGUUGGAUAAAGGGUUGGAUGAGUGAUGCUUCUUUUGAUGGAGAGCAUGAUAUUAAUAAAGCUGAUGAUCCUGGUUUUCCUUCUAAAGUCAAAGGAGAAGUGAAGGAGUUCAAUGAUGAAAUCAAUGAUGGUUCUCUACCUUUGCAAAGAAACAAAGAUUUUCAUCAAUCUCAUGGUGCUGCAGCUGCUGAGGGAGGAUCCAAAUUUCAAAAUAUUAUUGAGAUCAGUGGUGACCAUGACGAUGAUGAUAUCCCUAUUUCACGAGUAAUGCUAGCAAAAGCUACCGAAUCACGCAAAAGAAAGCUCCCAUUCUCACAAUCUUGUUCUUGCAAUAGGAGUGGUCCCUUUUAAGGUGUUGGAGGAUCGGAGAAAAGGAAGGUGGGGAAGUUAGGGAGUUUAGUCAAAUUUAAGAUGCAGGUAGAGAGGCACCUCGCUAGGCGUUUGGAGUUCUGCAGCGAAGUGUAUUUUGGGAUUUUAUUUUGAUAUAUAUCAUAUAUAUGUUCAUAUGUAUAACUCUCCAAAUAACUUGUUUUAUUUUGUACCUCUUAGAAGUUUAAGGAGAACUAGGGUUUUAUAUAUGUAUUUUGGACUUUAGGUUAUGUAUAUAUGUAUGUAAAUAUCCUCCAGUCAGCCUUAGUUCUGCAGGCUAAGUUAGGAGCUUGUUAUUUUGUAUUCUUGUUCCUCUACUCUUGUUUUCUGUGUAUAUAUGUUAGUGAAUCAUAGCUUUCUUAAUACGCAAGUUACGUUAUUUUU
Arachis duranensis is the source of this 1552-nucleotide RNA transcript. RefSeq lists it as uncharacterized. Lineage: Eukaryota; Viridiplantae; Streptophyta; Magnoliopsida; Fabales; Fabaceae. The record is from RefSeq and is a predicted model, not a curated record. The transcript has 4 exons.